GACGAACGCUGGCGGCGUGCUUAACACAUGCAAGUCGAACGGAAAGGCCUGCUUUCCCUUGUGGAUUGCGGGUACUCGAGUGGCGAACGAGUGAGUAACACGUGAGUGAUCUGCCCCCAACUUGGGUAUAAGCCUGGGAGACUGGGUCUAAUUCCCGAUAGGACUGCAGGGUGGUGCCUGUGGUGGAAAACGAUUUUCUAGUGGUUGGGGAUGAGCUCGCGGCCUAUCAGCUUGUUGGUGGGGUAAUGGCCUACCAAGGCGGCGACGGGUAGCCGGCCUGAGGGGGUGGACGGCCACAUUGGGACUGAGAUACGGCCCAGACUCCUACGGGAGGCAGCAGUGGGGAAUAUUACACAAUGGGCGGAAGCCUGAUGCAGCGACGCCGCGUGGGGGAUGACGGCCUUCGGGUUGUAAACUCCUUUCGACCGCGAGGAAGCCACCUGGUUGGAAGGGUGGCGACGGUAGUGGUAGAAGAAGCACCGGCUAACUACGUG
This 494-nucleotide ribosomal RNA is filed under the name uncultured bacterium. RNAcentral describes it as "partial 16S ribosomal RNA". It matches the Rfam family "Bacterial small subunit ribosomal RNA", at positions 28 to 507 of the family's 1533-position model. The record is from RNAcentral.